GCCUACGGCCAUACCACCCUGAAAGCGCCCGAUCUCGUCUUAUCUCGGAAGCUAAGCAGGGACAGGCUUGGUUAGUACCUGGAUGGGAGACCGCCUGGGAAUACCAGGUGUUGUAGGCU
Molecule: ribosomal RNA, 119 nt
Organism: Xenopus tropicalis (tropical clawed frog)
Lineage: Eukaryota; Metazoa; Chordata; Amphibia; Anura; Pipidae
Source: Ensembl